Molecule: ribosomal RNA, 167 nt
Filed under: uncultured bacterium
Lineage: Bacteria
Description: partial 16S ribosomal RNA
Rfam family: Bacterial small subunit ribosomal RNA
Source: RNAcentral
GCUAGUAAUGGCAGGUCAGCAUACUGCCGUGAAUACGUUCCCGGGCCUUGUACACACCGCCCGUCACACCAUGAGAGUUGGGAAUACCCGAAGCCUGUGAGCUAACUGUAAGGAGGCAGCAGUCGAAGGUAGAAUCAAUGAUUGGGGUGAAGUCGUAACAAGGUAAC